GAUGAACGCUGGCGGCGUGCUUAACACAUGCAAGUCGAACGAUGAAGCCCAGCUUGCUGGGUGGAUUAGUGGCGAACGGGUGAGUAACACGUGAGUAACCUGCCCUUGACUCUGGGAUAAGCCUGGGAAACUGGGUCUAAUACUGGAUAUGACUUCUCAUCGCAUGGUGGGGGGUGGAAAGAUUUAUUGGUCUUGGAUGGACUCGCGGCCUAUCAGCUUGUUGGUGAGGUAAUGGCUCACCAAGGCGACCACCGGUAGCCGGCCUGAGAGGGUGACCGGCCACACUGGGACUGAGACACGGCCCAAACUCCUACGGGAGGCAGCAGUGGGGAAUAUUGCACAAUGGGCGCAAGCCUGAUGCAGCGACCCCCCGUGAGGGAUGACCGCCUUCCGGUUGUAAACCUCUUUCACUAAGGAAGAAACGAGAGUGACGGUACCUGCAGAAAAAGCGCCGGCUAACUACGUGCCAGCAGCCGCGGUAAUACGUAGGGCGCGAGCGUUAUCCGGAAUUUUGGGGCGUAAGAGCUCGUAAGCGGUUUGUCGCGUCUGCCGUGAAAGUCCGGGGCUUAACUCCGGAUCUGCGGUGGGUACGGGCAGACUAGAGUGCAGUAGGGGAGACUGGAAUUCCUGGUGUAGCGGUGAAAUGCGCAGAUAUCAGGAGGAACACCGAUGGCGAAGGCAGGUCUCUGGGCUGUAACUGACGCUGAGGAGCGAAAGCAUGGGGAGCGAACAGGAUUAGAUACCCUGGUAGUCCAUGCCGUAAACGUUGGGCACUAGGUGUGGGGGACAUUCCACGUUUUCCGCGCCGUAGCUAACGCACUAAGUGCCCCGCCUGGGGAGUACGGCCGCAAGGCUAAAACUCAAAGGAAUUGACGGGGGCCCGCACAAGCGGCGGAGCAUGCGGAUUAAUUCGAUGCAACGCGAAGAACCUUACCAAGGCUUGACAUGUUCCUGAUCGCCGUAGAGAUACGGUUUCCCCUUUGGGGCAGGUUCACAGGUGGUGCAUGGUUGUCGUCAGCUCGUGUCGUGAGAUGUUGGGUUAAGUCCCGCAACGAGCGCAACCCUCGUUCCAUGUUGCCAGCACUUCGGGUGGGGACUCAUGGGAGACUGCCGGGGUCAACUCGGAGGAAGGUGGGGACGACGUCAAAUCAUCAUGCCCCUUAUGUCUUGGGCUUCACGCAUGCUACAAUGGCCGGUACAAUGGGUUGCGAUACUGUGAGGUGGAGCUAAUCCCAAAAAGCCGGUCUCAGUUCGGAUUGGGGUCUGCAACUCGACCCCAUGAAGUCGGAGUCGCUAGUAAUCGCAGAUCAGCAACGCUGCGGUGAAUACGUUCCCGGGCCU
This 1341-nucleotide ribosomal RNA is filed under the name uncultured bacterium. RNAcentral describes it as "bacterial SSU rRNA". It matches the Rfam family "Bacterial small subunit ribosomal RNA", at positions 28 to 1381 of the family's 1533-position model. The record is from RNAcentral.